RNAcentral lists this ribosomal RNA (497 nucleotides) under Campylobacter coli. RNAcentral's name for it is "bacterial SSU rRNA". It matches the Rfam family "Bacterial small subunit ribosomal RNA", at positions 202 to 715 of the family's 1533-position model. Lineage: Bacteria; Pseudomonadati; Campylobacterota; Epsilonproteobacteria; Campylobacterales; Campylobacteraceae. The record is from RNAcentral.
UAGGGAAAGUUUUUCGGUGUAGGAUGAGACUAUAUAGUAUCAGCUAGUUGGUAAGGUAAUGGCUUACCAAGGCUAUGACGCUUAACUGGUCUGAGAGGAUGAUCAGUCACACUGGAACUGAGACACGGUCCAGACUCCUACGGGAGGCAGCAGUAGGGAAUAUUGCGCAAUGGGGGAAACCCUGACGCAGCAACGCCGCGUGGAGGAUGACACUUUUCGGAGCGUAAACUCCUUUUCUUAGGGAAGAAUUCUGACGGUACCUAAGGAAUAAGCACCGGCUAACUCCGUGCCAGCAGCCGCGGUAAUACGGAGGGUGCAAGCGUUACUCGGAAUCACUGGGCGUAAAGGGCGCGUAGGCGGAUUAUCAAGUCUCUUGUGAAAUCUAAUGGCUUAACCAUUAAACUGCUUGGGAAACUGAUAGUCUAGAGUGAGGGAGAGGCAGAUGGAAUUGGUGGUGUAGGGGUAAAAUCCGUAGAUAUCACCAAGAAUACCCAUUG